GAUGAACGCUGGCGGCGUGCCUAAUACAUGCAAGUCGAGCGAACAGACGAGGAGCUUGCUCCUCUGACGUUAGCGGCGGACGGGUGAGUAACACGUGGAUAACCUACCUAUAAGACUGGGAUAACUUCGGGAAACCGGAGCUAAUACCGGAUAAUAUAUUGAACCGCAUGGUUCAAUAGUGAAAGACGGUUUUGCUGUCACUUAUAGAUGGAUCCGCGCCGCAUUAGCUAGUUGGUAAGGUAACGGCUUACCAAGGCGACCAUGCGUAGCCGACCUGAGAGGGUGAUCGGCCACACUGGAACUGAGCCACGGUCCAGACUCCUACGGGAGGCAGCAGUAGGGAAUCUUCCGCAAUGGGCGAAAGCCUGACGGAGCAACGCCGCGUGAGUGAUGAAGGUCUUCGGAUCGUAAAACUCUGUUAUUAGGGAAGAACAAAUGUGUAAGUAACUAUGCACGUCUUGACGGUACCUAAUCAGAAAGCCACGGCUAACUACGUG
This 497-nucleotide ribosomal RNA is filed under the name uncultured bacterium. RNAcentral describes it as "partial 16S ribosomal RNA". It matches the Rfam family "Bacterial small subunit ribosomal RNA", at positions 28 to 507 of the family's 1533-position model. The record is from RNAcentral.